RNAcentral lists this unclassified non-coding RNA (310 nucleotides) under plant metagenome. RNAcentral describes it as "partial contains 5.8S ribosomal RNA, internal transcribed spacer 2, and large subunit ribosomal RNA". The stretch from base 1 to 105 matches the Rfam family "5.8S ribosomal RNA", at positions 50 to 154 of the family's 154-position model. The record is from RNAcentral.
GAAAUGCGAUAAGUAGUGUGAAUUGCAGAAUUCAGUGAAUCAUCGAAUCUUUGAACGCACAUUGCGCCCCUUGGUAUUCCAUGGGGCAUGCCUGUUCGAGCGUCAUUUGUACCUUCAAGCUUUGCUUGGUGUUGGGUGUUUGUCCCCGUCUCCGCGCGUGGACUCGCCCCAAAGUGAUUGGCAGCCGGCGUACUGGUCCCGGAGCGCAGCACAUGUCGCGCAAACGAGUGCCUUGGUACGGCGGCGUCCAUAAGCCCCUCUCUCACGCUCUUGACCUCGGAUCAGGUAGGGAUACCCGCUGAACUUAAGC